Long non-coding RNA from Diabrotica virgifera virgifera (western corn rootworm), 1653 nucleotides. RefSeq lists it as uncharacterized. The transcript has 3 exons. The record is from RefSeq and is a predicted model, not a curated record. NCBI's taxonomy places the organism in Eukaryota, Metazoa, Arthropoda, Insecta, Coleoptera, Chrysomelidae.
CACCGUUGACGUUGACGGUGGGAAGAUUCAUCUUUUUUGGCCGUCAACGGCACGAUCACAGGACAUGAACAAUAAGGUGUGUCAUAAAAAAUAAAAACUGACAAGAUUUGUCAAAACAAACUAAAUAAUUAUUUGUUUAUGUUUCUAAAUACAGAAAACAUUCUCAAGUUUUAAAAUACCUAUAAUAUUUAAUAUUUAAUAUGAUAUUGAAGUACAGUCAAUUAUAUUUAUGGUAAUGCCAAUAUAGAUGUCUAUUGGAAACAUUAGGGCAUAGAGCUUAUGCAAAAUCGCGAGUUCCUUUAUAGUCUAUAGCAUAAAGUCCAUAAAGAUUACAAAAACGCAAGGAAACAAAGAUGCACCAUGAGAGGAAAUUACCAAAAGAAAUGGAUGUGAUCCUGAUCGUUUUAGAAAAGGAAAAAAAGAUUUUUGUGCUAGAAUUGAGGCAUCAGAAAGUAACUGACCUUCCUGCAAUUAACGACACUUUUUUACUGAGCACAGUGAGCACUCUGGAUAUAAGGACCUUUUUACAACAUUCUUCCAAGUUUAGUGUCAGUCUAUAUAUUUGUGGUUUAUUAAUUCUUAUAAUUGUUUUAUAAGGGACAUUUAAGGCUACAAAGGAAAUUUAAAAAAUGAAGGCAGCAGAACAUCUUCCACCGUCUCUUAUGCACCUAUUGAAAUUAUAUUUGAGGACGUGCAAGUACUUGGAAAGGGAAACGAGAAACGACCGUGCGCGAGUCGCGGAGAAAUAUUGCACCUAUCUUAAAUAAUUCAUAUUGUCAAUUGAAAUUGUCAAAUUGACGUAUAUUUCAUACCUUCUGUCAUUGACGCAGAAAAAUUAUAUAUUGCUCCACAAUAUUGAUAUGAUAUGCAAUUAUUAUAUAAAGGUAAAUUUAAUUAAUUGUAUUUUGCUUGCAGUACUGCAUUUUAAUAACUGAUUUUAUUUACUACAUACAAUUGUUUACGUUUGCUAAACAUAACCUGCAUCUUAUUUUUUCUUCUUAUUAUUUUUUGGACUAUGGUCUUGACAAUUAUCCAGCAACCAGGACUAAUAUAAUUGGCCAAUAUAAUUAAAAGUGCGAAUAAAAGUACAGAGCGUAGAAAUAGAGGUCGCUUUGCCGAACUUGCACGGUCCCAAUACCAGACACAUCACAAGAUGUGCACACAUUUAACUCCAGAAAAACCUAGUCUGUUAGUUAUUUUCUUUUAUGUUCAGUACUUAAAAGUGAGUUUUCAUUUCUUACAGUAUCAAUUAGGGCAUUACACUUAAAUUUAAUCACUGCUUCAUAAAAAAUGGUAAAUAGUCUUGUUUCUCAAGCAGAAAAAACUAUCUUAAAUAAUACAUUUUCUCAAUAUGUUUGUGCAUGCUUCAAGGCAUUGAAUCCUGAAGGUGCUGCUGAGGGAGCGUUCAAGUAUUACGUAACGCGAUUUUAGACCCACCCUAUGAAAAGCACUGUAAUGGGUGUUUAACUAUUACGUAUCCCAAUUUUUGACCUCCCGCAUAAUACUUGAUAUGUAAUACUUGAACGGCCCUUGAGGCAAGGAAGCAGAUAUGUUCGCGUUUUUUCUUACAUUGUUAUUAAUUUAGUUUGUUGUUUUAAUGUUUUAUAGAUUACUUAGUUUGUUUAUUGAUAAUAAAUAAAACAAUUCAUUGUA